CCUGGGUGACUUGGCUCGAAUCCCACCCGUGUCUGUGGGAGUGCGGGGCACCGACCCCAGCCGCGGGGCCUCGAGACCCCUCGGAGGGCAAAGGCAUGGCUGGGGUCACCAUCUCCACCCAGCCCGCAGCCUGGGACGGGGUUCCUGGCGAGCGGUCCGGCCCUGCGGAGGCAGGAUCGGCAGGAGCUGCCUCAGACCCCAGACCCACCGAGACCCUCGCGGGAGGGGCCCUCCUCCAAGCUGUGAGCUCUGCAGCGGAGCUGCCAAGGUGCCUAGAGCAUGGCCAGCAUGGUUCAGCACAGCCCCAGCCCACAGCUCCACCUCUCUGGUUCCUGAAACCCUGGACGCCAACCCCAGGCAGACCCUGGAAGUAGGAAGAUCAGGGGUGAAGACCCCAGAAUCCAGAUGUAGACAGCGCACAGAGCCUUCCAAGAGCAAAUCAACAAGCACCGGAGCCACCCGCCACUGGGCAGAAGGCCUGCACCUUGCAGGGAUGCAGUCCCAACAGUGAGGUCCCAGCCAGGCUGGCCACCACCUGGACACAGCCCUGCACAGCCCUGGCUCAGGUGGGUGGCCUGGAAGCACUGGGGACGAGGAGGAGAUGCCACCCCUUGCUGGAUGGCCAAGAAGCUGCCUCCCAGGCCUGGCUGUCCCUCCUAUUCAGCUCUACCCAUGCCCAAGCCAGUCUCUGGGGCCCUCCAUGCACAGGCCCAGGGCAGAUGGUGCCCUGACCCUGUGACCUAGGGCUCUCGGACGCCCUCCCUGGCCCACACAGAUCCGCAGGACAGAAAAGCACCAGAGGGGAGAGGGAGAGAGGAGGAGGGCCAGACCACCUGGACGUCCAAGGAUGCUGUCCUCCCUGGACUGAUGGAUCUUUGCUCUCAAGGGGACUGGAGGCUUCCGGUGGCUGGGGGCAGGCAAGAGCCCCUGACCUGGACAGGACAUUGAGAGGCCAACCGAGCAGGUGGCUCUUGUGAAUUCCUCAGCAGGGGCAGGUGGCUCUGCCUUGAGGCCCAGGAAGAAGACUGGCCCUGUAUGGGACAGUCAGGCUGCACUUGGCCCUCACCUGGCACACGCCAACCCAAGUGAGGACCCCACCCACUCUUAUCCCAGGGUCCUGAGAGCGCUGGAACCCAAGGAUGUACCUCCCUCACCCUGGGCUGUUCACACUGAGGAGGAGUGAGGGGAGGAGGGGGAGCAAGG
This is a non-coding RNA of Ictidomys tridecemlineatus (thirteen-lined ground squirrel), 1203 nucleotides long. Lineage: Eukaryota; Metazoa; Chordata; Mammalia; Rodentia; Sciuridae. The record is from RefSeq and is a predicted model, not a curated record.